Molecule: long non-coding RNA, 900 nt
Organism: Cannabis sativa
Lineage: Eukaryota; Viridiplantae; Streptophyta; Magnoliopsida; Rosales; Cannabaceae
Exons: 4
Source: RefSeq, a predicted model, not a curated record
UUUAAUUGUCUUAAAGAUAGAUUUUAGAAGGAUAAGUAUUAAUCAACCAACACUUAUCCAUCAAUCUCUUUCCCUCUUUAAUUGUACGUUAAGAAGAACCAAGAGAAAAUCCCAAACUAAAAUUCUUAUUUCUCCUCAUCUUUAGCAAGUUUCAGCAAGAGUAAUUGAUAAAGCUUGAAGUGAAGAAAUAGUCUUUGUGACUCAUAGGUGCUAUGUGGUGCAAGUAAGUGAUAUGAAAUAUUUGGCAACCAUGAGUAAUGAAUCUUCUCCAACAAAUGAAGCAGAGCGUUACAACUUGGUAUCAGAGCAGCCACGGUCUUAAAGGUCCUGAAGACUGACUAGAUUUAUUUGAUGUGAAGAUAAGCUUGACUCAUAGUAUAUGCAAGUCAAAGAUCGGUGAAGUAUUGAGCAACGUGUCUAAGGUGAUUUGACAGAUUUAACGAAGAGUGACAGCUCGGGAAUGAUCAGAGAAAUGCACUCAUUACAACUGCAAAUUGCGAGAAGAUGUAUGUUAUCACUCAGUAUAUUAUUUGGUGAAGUGAGUAUAUAAGAGAAUUAAGAGAAGUAAGUGUUGAAACUUAUUUUAGCAAGAUCUAGAUUUACUAACACGUAUGUUGAUUAUAGAACUAUAAUCUAACAUCUUAAAUAUGAAUUCCCUAAAAUAAUAAAAUAAACACAUAUAAAGUUAUAGAAAACCUUACAUUAGUGGCAGCGGAAUAUAAUGUCUCAUUCCGUUUAGAUCUCUAACCCUUGAUCCAAAUGGUCGCAGAGUAUGAUCAAGAUCUAAAGCUUGAUCUUCUUCGGUUGUUGGAAUUCUUCACAAUCUUCCACAAAGGUCAAAGUAUUGGCUUGAAUUGUAUGGGUAAUUCCUCAAUUCACUAAAUGGGUUGAAAAUAUGAA